This 524-nucleotide ribosomal RNA is filed under the name uncultured bacterium. RNAcentral describes it as "bacterial SSU rRNA". It matches the Rfam family "Bacterial small subunit ribosomal RNA", at positions 8 to 525 of the family's 1533-position model. The record is from RNAcentral.
AGAGUUUGAUCCUGGCUCAGGAUGAACGCUAGCGGCAGGCUUAACACAUGCAAGUCGAGGGGUAACAGGGAUUGCUUGCAAUCCGCUGACGACCGGCGCACGGGUGCGUAACGCGUAUGCAACCUACCUUCUACAGGGGGAUAGUCAAUAGAAAUGUUGAAUAAUACCCCAUACGAUCAUUAAUCUGCAUGGAUUGAUGAAGAAAGUUCCGGCGGUAGAAGAUGGGCAUGCGUCCUAUUAGUUAGUUGGUAAGGUAACGGCUUACCAAGACAUCGAUAGGUAGGGGUCCUGAGAGGGAGAUCCCCCACACUGGUACUGAGACACGGACCAGACUCCUACGGGAGGCAGCAGUGAGGAAUAUUGGACAAUGGAGGCAACUCUGAUCCAGCCAUGCCGCGUGCAGGAAGACUGCCCUAUGGGUUGUAAACUGCUUUUAUACAGGAAGAAUAGUACCUACGUGUAGGUAUUUGACGGUACUGUACGAAUAAGGAUCGGCUAACUCCGUGCCAGCAGCCGCGGUAAUA